This 7960-nucleotide unclassified non-coding RNA is filed under the name Leishmania donovani. RNAcentral describes it as "gene:LdHU3.27.1980(CDS-product:protein_kinase_put ative)". The record is from RNAcentral. Lineage: Eukaryota; Euglenozoa; Kinetoplastea; Trypanosomatida; Trypanosomatidae.
AGUGACAUAGUCGCUACGAUUGUGCACACGCUCGGCUGACUCAGUCGCAUACACUCACUCAUCCCACACGCACUCCAACCCACACGCGCAUCCUUCGCUGUGCGCGCUCACCGAGCUGCUUCGCCACGCCGUCUCUUUAUUUCACGCGGACCAUACACACGGGCACACAAGCAUAGGCCGAAGGAGGCGUUCCUAGUAUAGCAUUAUUUAGCGCUGCUCUGCCCCUUCCACGUAUCUGUCUGCUCCCAACCACGUCCUCCCUUGUUUGAGUUUUUUUUUUCCUUUGCUAUGGACCCCUCUUCUGCAUCCGGGCCUUCUUCUCUUCCUUUGUUGUUGUUGUCGGUUCCAUCUCAGGCAUCUCUGCUUCUUUGCCCAUCCCACACACGCACACACACCAUUUUCUGUGUUGUUGUGUCUCUGUGAGUUUUGAUCAAAGGUGCUUGGGAACGGAAGGCGAAAGCGUGCGUUGCGCGGCUGCUUCCUCCUCCGACGACGACGCUGCUUCGCAGUUGUGUGCUGCCUCUCCUCUUUUUUUUCGCUCUCUUUCUCUGCUCUUCUUCUGAGUGGAGCUGCGGGCAGGAUAAGGACAGCCAAGACAAGCCGGGCGUGGCGCUGCGUAGUUUCUGUUGCUGUUAUUUGUGUUUCCGCGUGUUUUGCGUGCGUGCCGGUGAGACGUAGUUGUGACGUGUUGCGCGUCACCUUUGCCUGGGCCUGUAUGUUUGUCUUCCCCUUCCCUCCUUUUUUUGGUUGUUUGUUUCUCUCUUGGGCUCUCCCUUUUCUGCCCAUUUGCCAUUGCAUAUGUGCUUAGUGAAGUGAAAGCACGUUCCCCCCUCCUCCCCUCAACCACCAUUCCCUGGCAGCUCACCGCAUAACGUCUUGCCGCCUACUCCCCCUCCCUCUCUCUCUCCCUCACUGCCUGCCUCACAGUGCACCCCACCGUCUCCCCUCAGCACCCGCGCCUGCGUGACCAGGUCUUCGAGAGGCGCGCCUGAUAUCUCGCGUUCUUCCCUUUGCCCAUCUCUUAUCAGGCACAGCAACGUCGUUCCUGUCAGCCUCGUGUCUGGCCUUCUUUCCUUUCCCCCAGCGCAGUCGCCCUCCCACGAAACGACGGCGGUACAGCACAAAAACGAACAAAGGGAAAGAAAACAUACAUAAAGGUAGCCCCGAGCUCUAUUUUUCUUUUGUUAUUGUGUGUGUGUGUGUGUCUGUGCUUCAUUGGUAUCUCUGCGUACGCACUUCGUCACUCCUGCGGCCGUUUUCUUUGUUAAUUUUACCCCCCCCCCUCCCCUCCCCAUCUUUUUUUUUUCGGUUCUGGUCGAGCAUUUGUUUUUGUUUCUUCUGUUGGUGUUGGCAGUGAUCGUGGUGGUGGUGGUGGUGGUGGUGCGUGUGCUCCUCACAGGAAUACGAGAACACCUUCUCAUUUUUUCUUCUUGUCGUUGUGAGUGCCUGGGUUCUUCUUUGCCCUCCCUCUCCACAUCGCACAUCACACACACUCGCUCGUUCUCUCUUUGAACCUUUUUACUUUUUCGUUGUUCCUCUCUGUUCUCUCUCUCUCGUGCUUGUUGCAUACUUGACCCUGCCUGUCUGCGUGUGCGUCCCUGUCGGUGUAUCUGUUUCUCUGGGUGUGGGUGUGCGCUUGUGUGCCCCCAUUGGCUGCCUCGGCCCUGCGUGCACGGUGAUUAGUCUUGCUCCCUCCUUCGACUGUGAUGCGCUUUGCGUGCCGUUGCGCACCGACACUCCCUCUUUUCCAUCUCUCCCCCUCCCCCCCCGCACGUGCACAGGCUUUCUUUCCUUAUUACGUGUUCUGCGACGAUACCGACGCGUAGGCUGGAGAUCGUAUGAGCUCUUCACCAUCUGACACUCACUCGUCUGCCUUCCCUGAUGCCACUAGCGUUGCUGCUGCCUUCUCACGUGACGACUUCUUCGAGUGCCCUCGGUGCCACCGACAUUGCAAGAGUCGGACGUGGUUCCUGAAGCACUUGGAGGCGUGCUCCAAGAGCGCCAGCUCCUCCAGCACGCACGGCAAUACGGUAUCAGGCGAGGGCAGCGGUGGAUCCCCCAGGACGGCAGCGUUCGCCACAAAGGUCAAGAACCACCACCGUCACCCUUCGCGUAGCUCCGCCACAGAGGACGUCACGCCGCUGCUGCUCGAGUCGGCGACAUCGACAACCUCGUCGUCGUCCGCUACGUCGUACUCGCACGUGCACAGUCACAAGCCGUCAGGGCUGACCCACCCGACGGGCAGUAGUGGUCGCGAGGUGGCCCCUUCCCACUUGAUAGAGGCAGGGCUCAGCGCCGACACUGGACUCUCGCGCAGCUCUGCCGUUGGCUUUGGCGGGUACCGCGACGGGCGGAGAGAAUCAAAUAACACGACGCCGACGGCAACCUCGCAGGCGUCGCCUCACUGGCCCAUUGAUGAUCUGCCCAUAGCUAGUUCAGCCUCCGGCGUCGGCACAGGUGCCGGCGGUAGCAUCGUAGCCAACGGGAUGUCUAGACCAACGAGCCCCUCGCAGGGAAGCUCAUUGUAUGCUGGAAGUCCGCGUGGGCUUCGUGCGGGUGAGAGCUGCGGCGAGAGCGGCUCUGCUCACGCAUCAACGGCGUUUGGACGCACCUCUGCCCCGGCCGCUGCGGCGGCCUCAUCGUCUUUCUCCACGGCACAACGUGAUGAGGCAGAACAGCAUCGGCAGCCGGCACGUCAGGACAGCUUUCGGCUACAGUCAGACUUCACCUGGACGCAGUACACCCCCAGUGCUUCGGAAGAGGAUGGCGACGACGAGGCGCUGGGCGAACACGACGGCUCUAUCCUCGACCACUCCAGCCGGCAGUUGUUGCGGAGCCUUGGCCGCGUGCAAAGGGGCAACAACCCGGCACCGCGCGAGGCUGGUACCUCGCUCUGCAGCAUUGGUGCAGACCGAUUGAUGGCUCCCGGUGACGCGGACAAGACCCCAGAUAGAUGGGCGUAUGAGCAGCAGCUCAGCGGGAAAAGCAGCCACCACAGAAGCACUCCCCCAAGCGCGGCUGGAGACGUCGGUCGCCACACGGCGACAGGGAUGCUGCAAGGCGCCAGCUUCCCUCUGGAAGGCGAGCAGCAAAUGCAGCGGCGUUUCUCGGCAUCCAUCAGCGAGUUCUCCCCCACAGAGUGCAACGUAAUCGGCGCGGCAGAUGGGUCUCAGAGUGUUGGAAGCGCCUCCAACAGCGACCGCUUUCACCGCUCAGCGCGCGACAGCGCGUCCCCUGUGAGCCCCAUCUGCAUGUCCUCAGCCUCGCCAAUGUUCGUGCAGGCGACAGGGAGUCCCAGCUUGCUACAUAUCAACGUGUCGCCUACGAGCACCACCGCCGCUGGCAGCAGCAUGAGCCGACUCAAUGGAAUGAACGCCAGCUCGAGUGGUGGCGGCGGUCGUACCCCGCGCCACGGCGAUCGCAGCGGCGCCGUCACCCCUCGCGCCAUCUCCUUCCAGCGCGGGCGCGCCGUCGGCUCCGGCGGCUUCGGCAUUGUCUACCAGGCGAUCCUCUCCGAUGGCUCCCUCGCGGCUGUGAAGGAGCUGAAGCUCGAGAACGCUAACUUGAAAGCGAUCGACCGCGAGGUGCGCGCCAUGAGCAGCAUCCCCCCACAUCCGAAUUGCGUCCGCUACCUCGGGUCGCGCUACAGUGCGCAUCACUACUACAUCAUAAUGGAGUACAUUAGCGGUGGCAGCAUCAACUCCUUGCGCAAGUCGGUGGGGCGGUUCCGCGAGUCGGUCUUCCAGCGCUAUGCGUACAUGGUGCUUCUCGGCCUUUCUCACCUCCACGCAAACGGCAUCUUGCACCGCGACAUCAAAGGCGCGAACGUGCUGCUCGACGAGAGCGGAUGUGCGAAGAUUGUCGACUUCGGCUGUAGUGGCAACCUGAACCAAGCCACGACAACGCUGAGCGGCGGUGGCACUCCACUGUGGAUGGCUCCGGAGGUGUGCCGGGGCGAGCCAGCCACGGAGAAGUCCGAUGUCUGGGCCUUUGGCUGCCUGUGCCUAGAGAUGACAAACGACACCGGGAUGCCGUGGAACUUCCCCCCCGGCAUGACCCUGCAGGGUGUUGUGUACGCGUUGGCCUGCGCCAAGUCGCCACCCGCCAUCCCGACCGAUCUUUCUCUCGAGGCGCAGGAUUUCCUGCGGCGCUGCCUGCGGAUCGAUCCAGGCGAGCGAGCCACUGUGGCGGAGCUCUUGCAGCACCCCUUUUUUGACGUGGACCUGAUGGAAGAUUCAGAAGAGGACGAGCUGCUGUCGUCCUACGGGGCGAGCGCGCGGCAGUCGGCCGUGAAGCGAGCUGUCCGGCAAGUGAACCUUAGCAGUGCGCUUGACGCCGCGGCGCACCAGCAGGAGCGGCAGCAGUACCGUGGCGAGGGCGAUGAGGUAGGCGGCGGUGCCAAGGACAUGCAAGUGAGCUCUCCGGUGCAGGUCUUUGCAGGUAUGUCUCUACCGUCACAAGGAAUGCACAGCAGCGGUCACAGGCCCAUUUCGGACCCCGAUGCAGGUGCCCUUUUACGGUCGCCGAAUUCGCAUUCGAAGAGCGCCUCGGGCCCCCAGCUUGAUCACUACACCCGCAGCGUGAAUAUCGGUUUCAGCUUGCAGGCCGUGGAUGAGGAUGACGACGACGAUGGCGGCGGUGCUGAAAAGGCUGAGGACAACGUAGGCCCAAGCCAUAACCUUCUUGGAGGAUCCCCACCGGCCAUUCCAGAGACGGCUGCGUCGACCGAUCGCUGUCGCACGACAUCGUUCAAGUCCGCCGGUGUGGAGGAGGACGAGAACGAGUACACGCAGAUGAUCACGGAAAUUAUCACUCAGGCACGCGAGGCGUACACCGACGAGGAGCGCCGCUUGACGGAGCGGCGGCGGAGGCUAAACAUGAUGCACCGGAGCAGCGACGAGGACACUUCCCUCACAGCCACCAUGAGCAGCGGCAGCGACACCAGCAACAACGGCGGCAGCGCCGGCAGCGACGGCAGCGCCGGCUGCAGCUUUGCUGAGGAGGGGGAGAGGAGCGAGCACGUUGAUAUCGAGAGUGACUUGAGUACUCUCAGCGGCAGCGAUGGGGAUGUCGGGGCCCGCAGCCGUUCUGUUGGUGGUCCUCGUCGCCACUCGCUCGGGACUACGUGGCGCGAUCAGUCUGCACGCGCCUCAGCCGCCACUGAGAACUCAGAGGAGCUGCUGCAGAACACAGACAGGGAAGUGCCGCAUCACGAGCCGGCAUGCGCAGCUCGAGUAAAGGAUCCCACCGCGCCCUCUGCGUCUGCGUUGUCGGCUUGUCGUAGCCGAUUCCCCGGGUCCGACGCACGCGCAAGCACGACCCUUGCGGCGACAUCACCGACCAGCGCACACGUCGGAUCGUGGGACACAUCCAUCUCACUCUACGCAACCAGUCCUUCUUCAAGUACGCGAGGCUUGGAAGCUGGUCCACAGUUUCAGCGGUCGCCCCACGGUUUAGUGCUUCCUCUUCCUCUUGCCUCCUCGUACCCGCGACAACAGCAGCAGCAGCAGCAACAGCAACAGCAGCGCCCCUGCCCGGUCUCGCCGCCGACGCGCCAGAGAGAGGUCAUGAGGAGGGAGCUCCCACGCGAUAAGAGUCGCUCUCGAGGCGGCGCGUCCUUCGGCAAAUCGCCUUACGACGGCGUUGUCGCGAAGGCGGCUGGCGGUGUCGCACGCGCGCCGCGCGAGCCUGGAGGCCCCGUCGGGGUGGCCACUACGAUUCGGCAGCCGGCUGGCUCCUCUCCCCUCUCGCCGCACACCUCCGCGAGUGCGGAGACCCCGCCUCCCCUUUCCAGCUCUCCCGCUACUCAGAGCAGCACCAUCUGUGGCGCUGUUCUCAGUGAGCGCAGCAGCAGCUCGCGUACCCCGCCGCUUACGGUUGGGGGACCGCGCCGCCAGACUCCACCACAGCCGCUGGCCACGACGACCGCGACUUCAUCUGCACACUCCGACAUCGUUGCCUGCCCGAUCGAGUGGUACACGGGUGGCUCGGGUAGACUUGACGUCAGCAGCGCCACCUGGCGUACAGGUGCGUCCGGCCAUCUGCCCAAGGAGCUCUCCAUGGCACAGAAGGAGAUGCAGGAGAUGCUGGACUGGGGGACCAGCAGCGAUCGACAUCACGCCUUGUCCUCCUCGUCGCCGGACAUAGGCCGGCGUAGCUCCAAAGCGUUGCCGACGGCCACCAAUAGCGCCGUUCGCGGAGGUGAAGGCCAUCACAAUCAUCAUCUUCUUCACCAUUUGUGUCACAACCAUGGCGACGAUCUCGACUCCGAAUGCACCGCCGAAGCGGAGUCGCUUUCACACCAUGAGUCGAGGGGGCUGUCGGCGACGGAGACGGUGGCCGCUGCGCAGCAGCCGGCAAAGCGCAAGUUAUGGGGUCUCGGCAUUUUUCGUAAUCUGAGGAGCAAGUAGAGUUUUUGCGUCUGUGCUUGCGGCGUCGGGCGUGUGAGCAACAGCGACAGCGGGUGAGAGAUGCAGCAAGCGGGAGUGCCGCCGUGUGCAUGUGACUGACCGUGUCUUGGCAUCGAUGCAUGCGAUGAGGUGAAAUGGACAUCAUCGCCCCUUCCUUGUGUUACACUCCCGUCCACCACCGGCUCCCUCUCUAUUCCCUCCGCUUUAUGCCGUCAUCCGUUUUGUCACCGCCUCAUCCUCCUCCCUCGUCUUGGUGACGAGAGCGAGAGCGAGAGAGAGGGAGGGCAACUAGGCCAUGUGUGAGGCGGUGGAGGGGUGGUGGUGAAGCGGAGAUUGGAUAAAUGGGACCGGCAGGCAGACAGCGGAAAGGAGUGAGAUGGCUUGCAGCAUAAGGGAUGGCAGGGAGCGGGGCAGGUCGGUGGUGUCUUCAAGAAUAGCCGAUUCUCGCGUCCUUUGCAACCUUUCUUUCCCGUGCUGUUUUCUUUACACAUCUCCCAUAGACUCCACGCGUCUCGUUGUGUCCUGCUCUUUCACGUUGUUUUUCUGACCGGGUACUCACACACCCGGUCGUACACCUCGUGUGGUGCCCCUCUACCUCCUCCUCAUUUUGUCUUCCUCCCGCUUGGGUUGCCUCACCUGCUACGGUUGCUUGUGCACCUCUUCCGUUCCUCUGCCCGUACCCUGCGCCGUUCCCCUCCCCCCCUCGCCAUCCGACAGCGGCGCCUCCUCUCCCCGUCCGUGUCCACACUCCACCUGCCUUGUUCCCUCGUAUUUUCUAGUUUCAUUGCCUCUCUGCGCGUUACUUCGUAAUGCGCACUGUUCAUCGGUCCUUGUAUCCCCCUUCAACGCGUUGCUUCCGUUGUCUCUUUUCCUCUGCGUGUGCUUGCCCGUUCUUUGUCCGUCUGUUUUGAUGCCUUCCCCCAUACCCCGCCGACCUGAGGCCGAAUACUUGUAUUUCGUCUGUAUGUGUGUGCGCACGUCGCUGGCUCGCUUUCUAGUGACUUUCCUUGCUUAUCACAUACUCUGAUGUCCUUGUCUAUUUCUGUGUAUGUGUACUGUCUGCGUGUCUGACACUUGAACACCAGUGCGCCUGUGUGCAUGCAUAUGAGUGUUUACCGUCUCGUGGUUUCAAGUGCUCCCUCUCUCUUUCCUUUUUCCGCCUCCCCCUCCUCCCUCCUCUUGCUUUAUGCGCGUGUGUGUGUGUUCAGCCUUUCCGCCUUGCUUCCCGAGCUUCGCUUAAGACACACGAAAAGAGAGGGGUAUACACCACCUACUCAGUAGCAACAACGUGAGCAGCGUACCUUCGGCACCACGGUAGACAAGGGCAAAUGGGCGGGCUUGAGGUAUGUAUGUGUGUGUAUGUGUGAGCAGACGCGGUAGGCACACCGGUGAUAGCACCAAACAAUCGCUGUGCCCCCGCCUCUAAUUUUUUGUUGUUGUUGUUGUUCGCCGUUUGGGGCAUGCGAAUGUUUUGCGUUGUUUUCCCUCUCUCGUGCGUUGCGCUUUGUUUUAUACGCUUGUGUCCGGAUAGAGUGGGGAGCCCUCAUACG